Molecule: transfer RNA, 75 nt
Filed under: bacterium
Lineage: Bacteria
Also listed under: 1 other name
Description: tRNA-Val
Rfam family: tRNA
About the family: Transfer RNA (tRNA) molecules are approximately 80 nucleotides in length. Their secondary structure includes four short double-helical elements and three loops (D, anti-codon, and T loops). Further hydrogen bonds mediate the characteristic L-shaped molecular structure. tRNAs have two regions of fundamental functional importance: the anti-codon, which is responsible for specific mRNA codon recognition, and the 3' end, to which the tRNAs corresponding amino acid is attached (by aminoacyl-tRNA synthetases). tRNAs cope with the degeneracy of the genetic code in two manners: having more than one tRNA (with a specific anti-codon) for a particular amino acid; and 'wobble' base-pairing, i.e. permitting non-standard base-pairing at the 3rd anti-codon position.
Source: RNAcentral
GGGCGAAUGGCUCAGAGGUAGAGCACUUGCUUCACAAGCAAGGGGUCACAGGUUCGAUUCCUGUUUCGCCCACCA